RNAcentral lists this long non-coding RNA (643 nucleotides) under Marmota monax (woodchuck). Lineage: Eukaryota; Metazoa; Chordata; Mammalia; Rodentia; Sciuridae. The record is from RNAcentral.
AUUCUGGGAGCUGUUGGGAGGGAAUGAAUGUGUCAUCAGGUAAGGGCUUGCUGCCCAUCAUGUAUGGAAGCCAAUAAUACUAUGGCACUUGAUUUUUGCAAAAAGAAAAAGGUUCAUUGGGUAGUCGAUAGCUUAGGAGGCCAGAAGCUAAAAGCAGAGCUCAAAUCUGCUGUCCCAUAAGUUGGUAGUGGUGGGAUUUGUGGUAGGGGAGAAAUGACACAGAGCUCGUUGGUGGGAAGGGAGAUGGAGGGUCUCAGAAUCUCUCUGUGUGGGGGGCAAGCAGUCCUUUUGGCUCUGCACAGGUUGCACGCCUCUUUGCGGGAGAGUGAUCACAUUCUGGGCAAGAGAUUUGGGGCUUGUGAUGUCGUGGAGGAGAGAACUGCUGCUUCUGCUCAUGUCCACUCUUGAAAAUCCCAUUCUAAGCUGUCCUCGAGUGCAUUCUGGAGGCUUUUCCUGAAAGCAAACUCAAGACUUUGCUAUUUAAGGAAUUUAUGGCUGGCUGUGCCCCGGCCUUGGCCAAUUUCAAAUAUAUUUCGCAUAAAAGAAUCAAGGAUUCGGGGUUGCUGAGGCAGAAUGCCAUGCUCUGAAUGUUUGUGCCUCCUCCAGAUUCAAAUCCUAACCUCUGUGGUGAUGCUAUUAGGAG